This 253-nucleotide ribosomal RNA is filed under the name uncultured bacterium. RNAcentral describes it as "partial 16S ribosomal RNA". It matches the Rfam family "Bacterial small subunit ribosomal RNA", at positions 524 to 776 of the family's 1533-position model. The record is from RNAcentral.
UACGGAGGGUGCGAGCGUUGUCCGGAAUCAUUGGGCGUAAAGGGCGCGUAGGUGGUUCUGUAUGUCUACCGUGAAAGCAUACAGCUCAACUGUAUUUUGUCGGUAGAAACUGCAGGACUUGAGGCUGGGAGGGGCUGGUGGAAUUCCCUGUGUAGCGGUGAAAUGCGUAGAGAUGGGGGAGAACACUCGUGGCGAAGGCGGCCAGCUAGACCAGUUCUGACACUGAGGCGCGACAGCGUGGGGAGCAAACAGG